GGGUGUGGUAGUUCAUUUGAUUUUUGGUCUAUUGCAAUAUGCCGAAUGCUGGUUGGUGUUGGUGAGGCUUCUUUCAUAAGUCUUGCGGCUCCAUUUAUAGAUGACAAUGCUCCUGUUGCUCAGAAAACAGCCUGGCUUGCUACAUUUUACAUGUGCAUACCAACUGGAGUUGCAUUGGGUUAUGUUUAUGGUGGAUUUGUUGGAAACCAUUUUAAUUGGCGG
This 222-nucleotide unclassified non-coding RNA is filed under the name Hevea brasiliensis (rubber tree). The record is from RNAcentral. Lineage: Eukaryota; Viridiplantae; Streptophyta; Magnoliopsida; Malpighiales; Euphorbiaceae.